GAUGAAGAACGUAGUGAAAUGCGAUAAGUAGUGUGAAUUGCAGAAUUCAGUGAAUCAUCGAAUCUUUGAACGCACAUUGCGCCCUUUGGUAUUCCAAAGGGCAUGCCUGUUCGAGCGUCAUUUGUACCCUCAAGCUUUGCUUGGUGUUGGGCGUCUUGUCUCUAGCUUUGCUGGAGACUCGCCUUAAAGUAAUUGGCAGCCGGCCUACUGGUUUCGGAGCGCAGCAUAAGUCGCACUCUCUAUCAGCAAAGGUCUAGCAUCCAUUAAGCCUUUUUUUCAACUUUUGACCUCGGAUCAGGUAGGGAUACCCGCUGAACUUAAGCAUAUCAAUAAGCGGAGGA
RNAcentral lists this unclassified non-coding RNA (341 nucleotides) under soil metagenome. RNAcentral describes it as "partial contains 5.8S ribosomal RNA, internal transcribed spacer 2, and large subunit ribosomal RNA". The stretch from base 1 to 120 matches the Rfam family "5.8S ribosomal RNA", at positions 35 to 154 of the family's 154-position model. The record is from RNAcentral.